This is a long non-coding RNA of Homo sapiens (human), 3556 nucleotides long. Ensembl annotates it as TMCC1 divergent transcript. Its record names the gene TMCC1-DT. The record is from Ensembl. Lineage: Eukaryota; Metazoa; Chordata; Mammalia; Primates; Hominidae.
ACGCCGCAGGGGCGGGGAUGGGCCCUGGAAGGCGUGGCCCCUCCCCUAGCCCGCCUUCCCACGCGGUCUCUGGGCUGGUUGAGCUGCGCCGCUGCAGGUAGUGCUGAGUUGCUCCAGUGCCACUGGGUUAGGGUCUCCACAACCGAGCUGGUCUCAGCAAGUGGUGUCCAUACAUGGGGCUCGAACCUGGGUUGAAGGGUCGCCAGAGCGACGGUUGGAGAACGUGGAACUAAGCUGGAGGACACCUGAGUACUCUUAAGCAAUCCCCGUGGACCAAAUCAACUGCCAAUUUGGAUAUCAUCGAGGCACCUGAAACCUUAUCAUGAGCCUGAUGCUGAGGAAUAGAUUCUGGGAGGAUCCCGAGGAUCCCCUGGUUGCAGCCAUGUUGAGACUGACGCUGAGGGGGACCCCAACUGUCACGAGCAACACCCAUCGAACGCAGCCACCUACCUGGGGACAGAUCAAGAAGCUGUCACAGAUGGCAGAAGAAAACCUAAGGAAAGUGGGACAACCAGUCACAAUGAGUAAUUUAAUGAUAGCUAUGAUAGUGGUGAUCACCAUUGCCAUGAGUAUUCCUUCAACAAGGGCUGGCACAGAGGACAAUUAUACUUAUUGGGCGUAUUUAUCAAUCUUGGCUGGCAAUAAUGCCUGGAUGUAAUCACUCUAUGACACAGUUACACAUGCUUUCUGGUCUCCGUAUUUACCAUAAUAAAUCUGCUCCUGUAAUUGAGGUAUACUGCCCUCAAAAACCUAUUUGUAAACAGAAUUGGACCUGGCUAGAAAUAAUGAAUGUAUUUGUUUGGGAAGAUUGCAUUGCAAAACAGGCAGAGGUGCUGUGCAACAAUUCCCGUGGAAUCAUUAUUGAUUGGUCCCCUAAGGGGAUGUUUAGCUUGAAUUGCACCUGUCAGUCUGUGUGCCACAGCCACACUAUGUUCAGCUGGUCUGAACAAAAUGGUCAAAUGGUAGAAAUGGUAAGAAGUAUGGCAAGAGUUCCUAUUAUUUGAAAACAUGGUGGUAUAGUGGCACCUCAACCUCAAAUGAUAUGGCCCGCUCUAGGAGCUUAACAUAAGGAUUUGUGGAAACUAUUAAUGGCUCUUAAUAAGAUCAAAAUUUGGGAGAGAGUAAAAAAGCAUCUAGAAGGACACUCUACAAACUUGUCUUUGGAUAUUGCAAAAUUAAAAGAACAAAUAUUUAAAGCAUCCCAGGCACACCUGACCUUAAUGCCAGAAAUAGGAGUGCUUGAAGGAGUGUAGACAGAUUAGCAGGUAGUAACCCAUUAAAAUAGAUAAAAACACUUGGAAGCUCUGUGAUUUCAAUGAUGAUGGUGCUUUUAAUCUGUGUUGUUUGUCUUUGUAUAGUCUGCAGCUCCCGACUCCUGCAAGAAGUAGCUCACCAUGAUAAAGCCACCUUUGCAUUUAUCAUCUUGCAAAAACAAAAAGGGGGAACAUGUUGGGAACAGGCCCCCAAAUCUGGCCAUAAACUGGCCCCAAAACUGACCAUAAACAAAAUCUCUGCAGCACUGUGACAUGUUCGUGAUGGCUAUGACACCCACCCUGAAGGUUGUGGGUUUACUGUAAUGAGGGCAAGGAACACCUGGCCCACCCAGGGCAGAAAACUGCUUAAGGCGUUCCUAAGCCACAGACAAUAGCAUGAGUGAUCUAUGCAUUAAGGACAUGUUCCUGCUGCAGAUAACUAGCCCAACCCAUCCUUUUGUUUUGGCCCAUCCCUUUGUUUCCUGUAAGGAAUGCUUUUAGUUAAUCUGUAAUCUAUAGAAACAAUGGUUAUCACUGGCUUGCUGUCAGUAAAUAUGUGGGUUAAACUCUGUUUGGGGCUCUCAGAUCUGAAGGCUGUCAGCCCCCUGGAUUUCCCACUCCACACUCUAUAGUUCUGUGUGUGUGUGUGUGUGUGUGUGUGUGUGUGUGUUUCUUUAAUUCCUCUAGUGCUGCUGGGUUAGGGUCUCCACGACUGAGCUAGUCUCAGCAGUAUAAAAAUCAGAAUAUUAAUUUGGCAACAUUUGGUAAUAUCAAUGCAGAAUAUUUAUCAGAAAUCAAAUGUUAUCACCAAAAAUCUACUCUACUUUGUUAUCCAGGAGAUGCAAUACAAAACCCAUUAAUUAAAACAUUAACAGAUACUAUUAAAAUACUUUGGGAUAAGGUCAGAAAUGCUAAAUGUUACUUAUUAUUUUAGACACAUUACCUGAUGCGAGGCAUAUAGUGCAGAUGAUUAUGGUUAGAGUUGUGAUUUUCUAAACUCAAAUACUUCUAUAUGUGAACAUUUUUGGGAGAUUUUUGUCACAACUGGAGAAAGAUUAUUUUUAAAUUUUAGUAAACUACUUACAAAAACUGAACCAGACAAAAAUAAUUCAAGAAGCUAGAAAUAUGACAACAUGGUGCAAUAGGAAAUCCUUGAAUAAAAAAUAUAUAUAUGUAUAUAUACACCAUAAAAUAUAGAAUGGUAUAUUCUGUAUCAUUCUAUAUUCCUUUUCUAAAGCAUCAUUAUUAUUAUUUGAGAUGAGGGGGAGAUCUAACCAUGUUGCCUGGGCUGGUCUUGAACCCCUGUCCUCAAGCAAUCUUCCUUCCUCAGCCUCCUGAGUAGUUGGGAUUACAGACACAUACCACUAUGCCCACCUUAAAGCUUGCUUGCUUGCUUGCUUGCUUUUUUUUUUUUUUUUUUUUGAGACAGGAUCUUGCUCUGUUGCUCAGGUUGGAGUGAAGUGGCACGAUCUCAGCUCACUGCAACACUCCAGCCUGAGCAACAGAGCAGACUCCAUCUUGGGGAAAGAAAGAAAAAAAAAAAGAACUAUACAUCUACCAAAAGCUUCAGUUAAAUGUUUGGGUAUAUUGAAAACACACUGGAUAUAAAUUUGAAACCACUGUUAAACGUGUGACAGGAAAAUCGAGUUGAGACUGCCAUGCCCGUGUCAACUGACCAUGGGUUCUUGGGCUCUCAAUGCAAUAGAACAUUGACAUGAGGCCAAAAGAGUUUUCUCAAAGCUUCACUGGAGCUUUUGUCCAGCCAUAAGGGAGGCAGAACGAGAGAGAAAGAGAGAUAGAGAGAGACAGAGAGAGAGAGAGAGAGAGUAUUCCCUGACAGACUCCACCUAUAAAAGAACAGGUAGGACUUUUUUAUUAGGCAAAGUACAGAACUGACAUCAGAAGUAGAGUGUACACAGGCUGGGCAAGGCAAACAAUGUGAGGGGUAGGGUAGCAGGUCAGCAUAUCCAGUUGUGAUGGUUAUCUUGAGUAAUGGGCCACCUGGUAGUCUGGCCUGUGACAACAAGACUAUAAAUCAAUUGUCCAGCAGCAUUCCUUUCUGAGGUGGGACACUCUGCAACCUUGGUUAGCUCCUAAAGCCAGUUCCUGGAAUUCUUUAAGUAAAAAGACUAUUAGCAGCGAGGUAAUGGUGUGGGUUUUGUGAUGUGUGGGAAUGCUCUAAUGGGGGUGAACCAAAGCCAGGCUCUGUCUCUACUGUGUCUCACCAGUAAAAACACAAUUACAAACAGCAUGCAAUGCUCUUUUUUGUGAUGAUGGUUAAUAAAGAAUACACAUUCUAAAAU